GACGAACGCUUUCGGCGUGCUUAACACAUGCAAGUCGAACGGAAAGGCCCUGCUUUUGUGGGGUGCUCGAGUGGCGAACGGGUGAGUAACACGUGAGUAACCUGCCCUUGACUUUGGGAUAACUUCAGGAAACUGGGGCUAAUACCGGAUAGGAGCUCCUGCUGCAUGGUGGGGGUUGGAAAGUUUCGGCGGUUGGGGAUGGACUCGCGGCUUAUCAGCUUGUUGGUGGGGUAGUGGCUUACCAAGGCUUUGACGGGUAGCCGGCCUGAGAGGGUGACCGGCCACAUUGGGACUGAGAUACGGCCCAGACUCCUACGGGAGGCAGCAGUGGGGAAUAUUGCACAAUGGGCGGAAGCCUGAUGCAGCAACGCCGCGUGCGGGAUGACGGCCUUCGGGUUGUAAACCGCUUUCGCCUGUGACGAAGCGUGAGUGACGGUAAUGGGUAAAGAAGCACCGGCUAACUACGUGCCAGCAGCCGCGGUGAUACGUAGGGUGCGAGCGUUGUCCGGAUUUAUUGGGCGUAAAGGGCUCGUAGGUGGUUGAUCGCGUCGGAAGUGUAAUCUUGGGGCUUAACCCUGAGCGUGCUUUCGAUACGGGUUGACUUGAGGAAGGUAGGGGAGAAUGGAAUUCCUGGUGGAGCGGUGGAAUGCGCAGAUAUCAGGAGGAACACCAGUGGCGAAGGCGGGUCUCUGGGCCUUUCCUGACGCUGAGGAGCGAAAGCGUGGGGAGCGAACAGGCUUAGAUACCCUGGUAGUCCACGCUGUAAACGGUGGGUACUAGGUGUGGGGUCCAUUCCACGGGUUCCGUGCCGUAGCUAACGCUUUAAGUACCCCGCCUGGGGAGUACGGCCGCAAGGCUAAAACUCAAAGGAAUUGACGGGGCCCCGCACAAGCGGCGGAGCAUGCGGAUUAAUUCGAUGCAACGCGUAGAACCUUACCUGGGUUUGACAUGGAUCGGGAGUGCUCAGAGAUGGGUGUGCCUCUUUUGGGGUCGGUUCACAGGUGGUGCAUGCCUGUCGUCAGCUCGUGUCGUGAGAUGUUGGGUUAAGUCCCGCAACGAGCGCAACCCUUGUUCACUGUUGCCAGCACGUUAUGGUGGGGACUCAGUGGAGACCGCCGGGGUCAACUCGGAGGAAGGUGGGGAUGACGUCAAGUCAUCAUGCCCCUUAUGUCCAGGGCUUCACGCAUGCUACAAUGGCUGGUACAGAGAGUGGCGAGCCUGUGAGGGUGAGCGAAUAUCGGAAAGCCGGUCUCAGUUCGGAUUGGGGUCUGCAACUCGACCUCAUGAAGUCGGAGUCGCUAGUAAUCGCAGAUCAGCAACGCUGCGGUGAAUACGUUCCCGGGGCU
This 1346-nucleotide ribosomal RNA is filed under the name uncultured bacterium. Its description in RNAcentral is "partial 16S ribosomal RNA". It matches the Rfam family "Bacterial small subunit ribosomal RNA", at positions 28 to 1381 of the family's 1533-position model. The record is from RNAcentral.